This 254-nucleotide ribosomal RNA is filed under the name uncultured bacterium. Its description in RNAcentral is "partial 16S ribosomal RNA". It matches the Rfam family "Bacterial small subunit ribosomal RNA", at positions 524 to 776 of the family's 1533-position model. The record is from RNAcentral.
UACGUAGGGGGCGAGCGUUGUCCGGAUUUAUUGGGCGUAAAGAGCUCGUAGGCGGUUUGGUAAGUCGGAUGUGAAAUCUCCAGGCCCAACCUGGAGGGGUCAUUCGAGACUGCUAUGACUAGAGUUCGGUAGAGGAGUGUGGAAUUCCUGGUGGAGCGGUGAAAUGCGCAGAUAUCAGGAGGAACACCCGUAGCGAAGGCGGCACUCUGGGCCGAUACUGACGCUGAGGAGCGAAAGCGUGGGGAGCGAACAGG